GCGCCCGUGGCUUAAUGGAUAAAGCAAGUGAAUUCUAAUCACUAGACUGGGGGUUCGAAUCCCUCCGGGCGUACCA
Molecule: transfer RNA, 76 nt
Filed under: Candidatus Daviesbacteria bacterium
Lineage: Bacteria; Candidatus Daviesiibacteriota
Description: tRNA-Arg
Rfam family: tRNA
About the family: Transfer RNA (tRNA) molecules are approximately 80 nucleotides in length. Their secondary structure includes four short double-helical elements and three loops (D, anti-codon, and T loops). Further hydrogen bonds mediate the characteristic L-shaped molecular structure. tRNAs have two regions of fundamental functional importance: the anti-codon, which is responsible for specific mRNA codon recognition, and the 3' end, to which the tRNAs corresponding amino acid is attached (by aminoacyl-tRNA synthetases). tRNAs cope with the degeneracy of the genetic code in two manners: having more than one tRNA (with a specific anti-codon) for a particular amino acid; and 'wobble' base-pairing, i.e. permitting non-standard base-pairing at the 3rd anti-codon position.
Source: RNAcentral